RNAcentral lists this non-coding RNA (24 nucleotides) under Cricetulus griseus (Chinese hamster). Lineage: Eukaryota; Metazoa; Chordata; Mammalia; Rodentia; Cricetidae. The record is from RNAcentral.
AACUCACGCAGGGCAAGAGCUGAU